Molecule: long non-coding RNA, 2961 nt
Organism: Polypterus senegalus (gray bichir)
Lineage: Eukaryota; Metazoa; Chordata; Cladistia; Polypteriformes; Polypteridae
Exons: 3
Source: RefSeq, a predicted model, not a curated record
AGAGGCUGCGCGGUAGGCAAGCGGCCAGGCUCCGGGGCAGUUCUCCCCCCACUCCAGGAGCUGGGAGGCGGGGUGAAAAGUCUGAACGGGCCGGGCGCUGGAGCGUGCGAGAACUGGAUUCUGGCCCAAAUCGAGAGAGAGAGAGAGAGGGGAGACUAACGGGGGGAGUGGGGCAAGUGGUGUUGGGAGGGAUGUGUGGCAGGUGAUGAAGAAUAGAGAGGAAAAGUUGGCAAUAGGUGAACAUUAGAUAAGUGAAAGUAGGAAAUGCCAUGUGAGCCAAAUAAAUAGUGUCGAAAAGACAUGUAGAAGGUGGUGGAGAACAGGGGAGCGAAAUAAGGAUGAAGAAGAAAAUUAAAGAGAAGGGAAAAUACAAAGCAUAGGAUACUAUGUAGAUCUCCCAUGGCUUAUCAGAAAAAGAAACUUUACAGAGAAAUACGCGUAAACUAGAGAACAGUAAUGAUAAAGGUCUCCCGAAAGAGCACACAGCAGUUCUAGAGUCCCCCUCCUCGGCGCGGAAAGGGACGCGACAUUCAUCACGUAGGGGUUUGCGAAGCCUGUGCACCUUAACAGGUAACCGCAUCUGAGGAAAUCCUCAGGAGCGCGCGCAGGAGCGAAAUGCGUCACCGUCGGGAUGCGCGACAAGAGGCGGACUCGCACGCAUUUAUACGAUUUCUACACGUGGCGAAAAUAAUGGCCAAAACAGCUGUUAUCUUUACAAGUUAAGACGUGUAAUGCAGGGUGCUGAUCUUUUAUUUAAAGAGACAACAGGGUUUAUUAUUAUUAUUAUUAUUAUUAUUAUUAUUAUUAUUAUUAUUAUUAUUAUUAUUGCCAAGUGGAGAUUGUGUAUGAACGGCGGCUCGAACUAGUCUUUGACUCUCCACCUCUGAGGUUUUUAAAAAAGCUCAGGACAUACUUUCCUUUUUACCCCCGAAAAGACGCCCGUGUUGAUUUUUAGAAGGGAGGCAGGUGCACAUCUAUACCGCCAUGCUUCAAAUGGUAUCUUUCAGAGUCAUCACUUUCAAAAUCCACUUAACGAAGUGAAUUAUCUUUGAAUAUUCACUAAUCAUUUUAUCGUUAGGAUGUCAUAAAAUGAUCAGUGUCAAGUGUAUUUUUUCUCUUUAUUUACAGUACCUGUUUCUGGAAAUUAAAUUAAGGAGAUUUGCGGAGAACAUUAAUUACCAGUACUCACGUAACGGUUACCUUUCUUUUUCUCCAGUAAUUUACCAACUACUAUUGUUAAUAUCAAUGCUGUUAUUCAGACAGCGCACAACUGAGAUAGUUUUAAAAUGUUCAAAGUGACAGUUUUACUAUACAUAUAGGUGUAACCUUUCUUUUGCUCUUAUGAUUUACUAACUUCUGCUGUUAAUGUUAAUGAUAUUAUUAAAACCGCGCAAACUGUAACGGUUUUAAAAUGUUCAAAGUGACACCAUUACCUUCAAAGAAAAUAAGAAAGCAACAAAUAUACAUUCUGUUAGCAGCUUAAAUCACCAGUUUACAAGAUUAAAGCAGGUUACAACGACAAAGACAACACUAUCAUCAUCAUAAUAAUAAAAAUGUAUAAUUGGCUGGCGCCGUUAACUAAGGCAACGCACAACUUAAGAUCAAGAUACAGCACAAUUGUUCCACACACUGUACAUUUUUUGCAGCUGCCAUACGAGCUUGCCUUAGCCACUACAUCACACUGUCUGCCCCUUAUGAUAUUGAUUAUGGACACCCUGAAAACCAGCUGCAGUCCGAAUAAAUGGAAGACAUGGAUGCUCUCUCUCUCUCUCUCUCUCUCUCUCUCUCUGUCAUAUACACACACACUCUCGCGCGCGCGCUCUUUAAAGGUUUAUCUUUGUUUUUUUUCUCACUGCCCUACAUUGCCGCCUUGCGGAUGUAUUACAGUACUGUGUACUACCAUCAAACGAUUAUCGAGAACGAAAAAUGUACGUCGUACACUGAAAAUUCUACUAGAUUCAGUGCAGGGGUUUUGUAUGUCUCCGUGCUGGACUUUCCUUGGCUGGUCAUUCUAAUGAUAUUGCAUGUACCCAAGUAACGCCUUUCUACCAAGUUAAACUUCACAUUUUUAGGAUCCUUAGACGCUGUCGUCAAAUACUAAAAGUAAUUCCCGUGACCUUACACUGACUGCAGCCUGACCUUCAAUUGGCAAUCGAUCAGAGAAGUUCCUGAAGGCUGCCUGGAAAUCCCACCCUCGAAGAGGUGAUGCUCUGAAUCACUGCUUCCCCUCUUUCAGCCCUGGAAGGAACAACGCUCCCAGAAGUUAAAUGUGUGGAAACCCAGGCAGUGACAAACAGCACACAUAAGAAGGAUACUAGUAUACUAUAAUUAUGUGGCAGUGCUACACCACCACUACUAUUAAUAGACUUGGAUUUGUUUGGUGGUGCUUCAUUAGCAACUUGUGAAGUGCAGUCAUAUUAACAGGACUUAAUGCAUUUAGGUGUUGUGUAAAAAAUGUAAUCGUAGAUAUUUUUAACAUGUUAAUCGCAUGCGUUGACUAAUGGAGAUUAAUCUCAGCUGUAAUUUUACAGUAUAUCUUCAGGCAAGCUUGAGAGAAAUUAAAUCCAAACAGGAACUACAACACACAUCAGCAGAUGUCCGGGGAUCUGUACCGCGUUCAGCUUGGUUCUGAGAGUAACAAACAACAAGGUUCCUCAAAGUCAUUUGCAGCUCGCUAAACUGGAACAUGACAAGGUUCAGUCACCAUGAGAUCUUCCCCCAAGAUUGCUGCCUAGACUAAUUCCACAUCCCUCUCUAUGGACUCGUUGGUGCCCCUUUUCUGAGGGGUGAGCGAGUGGCUCUUGGUACUGAGACUCUACUGACUCUGGUGACUUAGAGGUUUCCUUCUGAUGCUAACAAGGAAGCCCCUUUCUUUUGCAAGUUCUCAGACUCGGCCACCAGUUUCCUCUGGCUGUCCUCUUACCAUCUGGAAGGCUGUCUUGCUCUUCACUAAUAAUAAAU